Molecule: ribosomal RNA, 497 nt
Filed under: uncultured bacterium
Lineage: Bacteria
Description: partial 16S ribosomal RNA
Rfam family: Bacterial small subunit ribosomal RNA
Source: RNAcentral
GGUGAACGCUGGCGGCGUGCCUAAUACAUGCAAGUCGAGCGAACAGACGAGGAGCUUGCUCCUCUGACGUUAGCGGCGGACGGGUGAGUAACACGUGGAUAACCUACCUAUAAGACUGGGAUAACUUCGGGAAACCGGAGCUAAUACCGGAUAAUAUAUUGAACCGCAUGGUUCAAUAGUGAAAGACGGUUUUGCUGUCACUUAUAGAUGGAUCCGCGCCGCAUUAGCUAGUUGGUAAGGUAACGGCUUACCAAGGCAACGAUGCGUAGCCGACCUGAGAGGGUGAUCGGCCACACUGGAACUGAGACACGGUCCAGACUCCUACGGGAGGCAGCAGUAGGGAAUCUUCCGCAAUGGGCGAAAGCCUGACGGAGCAACGCCGCGUGAGUGAUGAAGGUCUUCGGAUCGUAAAACUCUGUUAUUAGGGAAGAACAAAUGUGUAAGUAACUAUGCACGUCUUGACAGUACCUAAUCAGAAAGCCACGGCUAACUACGUG